GAUGAACGCUGGCGGCGUGCCUAAUACAUGCAAGUCGAGCGAACAGACGAGGAGCUUGCUCCUCUGACGUUAGCGGCGGACGGGUGAGUAACACGUGGAUAACCUACCUAUAAGACUGGGAUAACUUCGGGAAACCGGAGCUAAUACCGGAUAAUAUAUUGAACCGCAUGGUUCAAUAGUGAAAGACGGUUUUGCUGUCACUUAUAGAUGGAUCCGCGUCGCAUUAGCUAGUUGGUAAGGUAACGGCUUACCAAGGCGACGAUGCGUAGCCGACCUGAGAGGGUGAUCGGCCACACUGGAACUGAGACACGGUCCAGACUCCUACGGGAGGCAGCAGUAGGGAAUCUUCCGCAAUGGGCGAAAGCCUGACGGAGCAACGCUGCGUGAGUGAUGAAGGUCUUCGGAUCGUAAAACUCUGUUAUUAGGGAAGAACAAAUGUGUAAGUAACUAUGCACGUCUUGACGGUACCUAAUCAGAAAGCCACGGCUAACUACGUG
Molecule: ribosomal RNA, 497 nt
Filed under: uncultured bacterium
Lineage: Bacteria
Description: partial 16S ribosomal RNA
Rfam family: Bacterial small subunit ribosomal RNA
Source: RNAcentral